This 471-nucleotide ribosomal RNA is filed under the name uncultured bacterium. Its description in RNAcentral is "bacterial SSU rRNA". It matches the Rfam family "Bacterial small subunit ribosomal RNA", at positions 1 to 504 of the family's 1533-position model. The record is from RNAcentral.
UGUGUGCCUUGGCAGUCGACUAGAGUUUGAUCCUGGCUCAGAACGAACGCUGGCGGCAGGCUUAACACAUGCAAGUCGAGCGAGGACUUCGGUCCUAGCGGCGGACGGGUGAGUAACGCGUGGGAACGUGCCCUUCUGUGCGGAAUAGCCUCGGGAAACUGAGAGUAAUACCGCAUACGCCCUUCGGGGGAAAGAUUUAUCGCAGAAGGAUCGGCCCGCGUCUGAUUAGGUAGUUGGUGGGGUAAUGGCCUACCAAGCCUACGAUCAGUAGCUGGUUUGAGAGGAUGAUCAGCCACACUGGGACUGAGACACGGCCCAGACUCCUACGGGAGGCAGCAGUGAGGAAUCUUGGACAAUGGGGGCAACCCUGAUCCAGCCAUGCCGCGUGAACGAUGAAGGCCUUAGGGUUGUAAAGUUCUUUCAGUCGUGAAGAUAAUGACGGUAGCGACAGAAGAAGCCCCGGCUAACUCC